Molecule: RNA transcript, 5259 nt
Organism: Eublepharis macularius
Lineage: Eukaryota; Metazoa; Chordata; Lepidosauria; Squamata; Eublepharidae
Gene: TMEM250
Gene name: transmembrane protein 250
Exons: 5
Source: RefSeq, a predicted model, not a curated record
CUCUACAGCUAACAGGUUACCAUGCGAGGGGGGGGGGGUCUUUAACAUGUCUCCAACUGAAUCAGAGUUUCCCAAAUGAGAAGAGAGCAAGGAUACACCACAGACCUGGACAUAAAUUUUAGUGCUCCCCCAGAGGCUUUAGACUCUUAUCACAAGCCCGUUGCAGGCUUGGUCGUUCCACUGGAGCAUCCCCCCACUGGGCCUGUCGCAGCUUAUCUAGCUUCGAUGAUAGCAGCCUUAUUUCCGAGACAGGAUGGACCCCCGUGUUAUCUCACAGAACUAUGCACCUCCGAGCUAGAGAAGACCUUGGAGACUCCAGCUAAUUUCAGGAAGUGAUUGUUGCUAAUUGGAGAGGGUCUGUUUUUCCUGGGGCUGACUGGCGGUCCUGUCCUCUGCUGGAUCUGGUUGAGACAUUCCUCCCUCCAGCUUCCAAUUCUUAUCAAGUGAGGCCUACAGGGAGAGGGCAGGAGGCAGCCAGACACAUCUCAAUUGUUCCUGGAUUCAGCUAUGUUGAGACUCUCCUCCACAAUGGACCUUUCUGCAUUUCACUUCCACUGUAAUCAGCUGCAAUCAUAGCAAUCAGCUGUAAUUUCUUAAAGCAGCUUUGUAAAGCUGCUUUUGGCUGGGAAACUGGAUAGAAAUAAGUAUGACCUCAAUAUCUUUUUCCAGGGUUUAGACAAGGGGUGUUGAAUUCGAGUACCAGAUCUGACAAAAAUGACACUUUUUCAGGCGGAGCCAUGUAUAUUGAAGACACAAACUUUAUAAAGGGCAAAGGCAAACCCAAUUAAUGAUAUUAAUGAUAUUAUUUUACUCAAAAUACAAACAUGCUUAAAAACAUGAACACUCUUGUUUUCUUUAUUUAACAGUCUUUGAUAACUGACACCUCUUGCUUUGAACUAUUGCAUCAAAAUCUGGAGUUAAAGUCUGUGGUCUAUCAAUUUUGAGGAUGCUGUUCAGGUUUGUCUUUGUAGGCUGAGAACAUACUUUUGUUUUAUUAACAUUCAUUACAGAAAAGAGCUGUUCACAGAUGUACACUGUCCCAAACAUAGAGAGAAUUUUAGCAACAAAAGCCUUAAAUUGGGAGUAAUUUGGAAUUUUGAUUGAUUGAUAGGUUUAUCGCUGUAACUAUAGGUCAUAACAUCCCCACAUAUACACCAACAUAAAACAGUGUACUACAGCAAAAGAUUAAAAUAUAUUUACAUAAGAGAAUAAACUUAAACAUUUAAAACUAAGAUGGUAAAAGAGAUAAAUCAGUAUGCUGAUGACACCCAGUUGUAUCUGUUGUUGGACGGACGGCCUGGCUUGGCUCCAGAAGCCCGGAUUAGAGUUUUGGAUGUUGUGUCUGGUUGGGUGAAGCAGAGCAGACUCAAGUUGUAUCCCAUGAAGACGGAGGUACUGUACUUGGGCCAUGGGACAUUGGAUCCAGCUUCCGGUCUUCGAUGGGGCACCACUUGUGCCCGUUUCAUCAGUCAGAAGUCUUGGCGUGAUGCUGGAUUCCUCUUAGAGGAUUAAUUGCCUCAUUGCCCACUGGUAAAUCUCCAGGUGAGGAUAUGUUAUCACCUGAACUGUAUAAAGCCUUCCCAGACUGGUGGGCCCCAGUACUCAAAUUAAUGGUUCAGGCCUGAUCCCCCCGGAUGGAAGCUGAGUAUUAUGGCACCUAUACACAAAAAAGGGGAUAAAUCUGACCCGCAAAAUUAUAGACCAAUAAGUCUACUUGGCACAGCAGCAGAACUGUAUAGCAAAUAUCUGCUGACAAAAUUGGAAGAUUGGGUGACCACCCAAAAAAUAAUUCAUCCCACACAAGUUGGUUUUCAGAAAGGUCUUGGAACUAUAGACCACUGUCAAACGCUGUACCAACUGGCUUACUCUGGAAUAAGUGGGCCAACAAAGGCACUUUAUGUAGCAUUUGUUGACUUGGCUGCCGCAUUCGAUUCAAUCAAUAGGUCCCGCUUAAGGUCCAAGCUUGCCAAACUUAACAUCGAUAAGCGACUGCUGUUUCUGCUCUGUGAGCGGCACAAAGAUACUUUUGCUCAAAUCAAGGUGGGAACUUCUGGAUCAUUAACCAACAGAAUCCCUAUUAGUAGAGGCGUGAAACAGGGUCGUGUGCUGGCCCCUCUACUAUUUAACCUGUACAUCAAUGAUAUCAAUGAGACUCUGUCAGGGCCCCACUUUAUGCUGCCUUCUCUGGGACAACAGAAGAUUUCAGUUCUCCUUUAUGCAGAUGACAUGGUCCUAACUUUCCUGACCAAGAUCGGCUUGAGGAGACUCUUAGAUCAGUUAGGCCAUUAUUGUAACAAAGAAGCUCUCAAUGUCAACUACACAAAGACAAAAGUAAUGGUUUUCAGGAGAAAGCCAAAAAUCUCCUGCCGGAGCAUCCUUGGCAACCCAAUCCAACAAUGCAGCUCCUUUAAAUAUCUAGGGGUAACCUUUAAAGAGACUCUGAAUUGGAAGAUACACCUUGCGAUGGUUAAAUCCUCAGCAUCAAGGAUUGUAGGGUCAAUCAUACAUUUUUUCAUACAAAGGCGGUAGGGGUCGAUUGAUAGAUCCAGCACUGAAAUUAUUUAAGAGCAAAGUAGUCCCUCACCUCCUAUAUGGAGCUGAAGUGUGGGGUUGGAAGGAAGAUAUUCUAACCAGUCUUGAGGUAAUCCAAAACCAAUUCUUGAGACGGAUUUUGGCUUUACCCAAAGGCGCUCCUGCCACCCUGAUGAGGGCCAAAACAGGACUCCCCUCUGUUAGGGCGUGAGUACACCUUGCAGUUUUAAAAUACUGGGAAAGGAUCAAAUUUUCCAGUUCUAACUCCUUAAGCUGCCAGGUGAGCAAAUAGAGGCACUCAAAGGAGAAAACAUAAGAUCCCAGACAAAAAAGCUCUCUUCUUAACCUUGGACGUGGUGUCCUUAUACACUUCUAUUGCCCAUGAAGGGGCAAGACAGGUUAUAGAGGAAGCAUUAUGGGCAUGUAGCGAUCAGGUUCCCCCCACCCAUUUCCUCUUGUCCCUCACUGAUAUCAUAAUGGAGAAGAAUUUCUUCGGAUACAGAUCCCACUUCUUUGUACAAAUCAGGGGUGUGGCAGUGGGAUGCCCUGUGGCGCCCUCUAUAGCGAAUAUUCAUAUGAAUCAAGUAGAGGUUCAGCAUGUGUUUAAACCAGAGAAUAACCCUUUUUUGCAGAAAUCCUGUACUACCGGUGGUAUAUUGAUGACGUGGUGGCAAUAUUUUCCAAUAGGGCCAAUACAGAAGCAUUUAUGCAGUUGAUGAAUAAUCUAGAUACCCAUAUUAAGUUUACAGGGAACCAUAGUGACACACAUAUUAAUUAUCUGAAUGUGAUUAUCUACAAAGUUAACGGCCACAAACUAGCUGUUCGUCCGUUUCAUAAGGAGACGGACUUACUUACAUUUUUCCUCUUAUCAUCCCCGAAGACUUAAAAACAACAUUCCAUACAGCCCAUUUCUUCGUCUUCACAGAAAUUCCACUCAAAUGUCUGACUAUUUACGAGAAAGUAGGUCCAUGGCAAAAAACCUCGUGGGAAGAGGUUACUCUCCAAAAUUAAUAGCAAAUGCAAGAAAGAGAGCAUCUGAGGUUAGAAGAGUAGAAUUAUUGAACUCUAGCCAGAAAAAAAACUACUGGCAGAACUCGUUGGUCUUUGAAAUUUACUUCUAAAGCCAAUGAGAUUAGUCAGAUUGUUCGUCAACAGUAGCAUCUGGUUCAUCACCUUCCGGGUUGUGCUGAACCACCAGUGAUAGGAUUUAAAAGAACUAAUAGUCUUCGUGAUAUGCUAGUCCAUUCUAACAAGAAAAGGAAAGUUAUUAACUACAACAACCCUGUAGGGCAUUACAAAUGUGGUCACUGCAGUGUCUGCCCUUUGGCACUCCAGGCAGAAGAGAGACGUUACCCGUGUACUAUAUAUGUCUCCUCCCAGUAAUUUUUACUCAAUUUAUUCUUUUAAUCAACAAUAUAUCUGUUAAUAAGUUAACCUAUUUCUUGAUAUAUACCCAAAACAUGCACCACAUAUUACAAAUAACUACAAUUAUACAGGCGUCAUAUAUGCUCCAAAACAAUCAAUUAAAGUGUCCCGUGCUCCAGUUCCUAUAUUAAUUACUAUUAAAGUGCAAAUGCUUUCUAAUGUCACCCGACACAAUUUAUCAUUUAUAGAGUCAAUUUCGCCUUGUAUUUCAGUUCAAUAUGGGUACAGUCCAAGGUAAUCCCAGACACUGUGAAGGUCACAGAUCACAUGUAGACCUUGAUAAUAUUCUUUAGGAGUACAUUGAUGGUUCUAUGACCAUCAAUGUACUCCUAAAAAUUCACUACUUCAUUAUAGAUCCUUUCACCCAGGCCAUCUAAGGGCUAAUUUACCAUAUGGACAAUUCUUGCGGCUCAAAAGAAAUUCCACCAGAGACUCAGAUUAUAUUAGCCAAAGUAACAAACUACAGGAGCAACUCAAACAAAGGGGAUAUCCUGAUAGGAUCUUGCGCAAGGCAAGACAACGUGCUGAUGAAGUUCUUAGAAAAGACUUAUUACAACCAAAAACACGUGGAAAUAUAGAACGCAUUGUUGGCGUUUUUGAUUAUAGCAAUAAGGCUAAUGCUAUUAGGAGAGCGGUCUUGAAAUACUGGCCAAUGGUUAACGACAUUCCGGGCUGUGGGACCCCCCCCCCGCUAGUAGCCUUUAGGAGGACACAAAAUAUAAAAGAUCUGAUAAUACACUCGGAUCUAAGUUAUAAUAUUCAACAACUGGACUCAGGACUACCAAGGGGAAUGUACAAGUGUGGGAGAUGUAAACAAUGUUCUCUGGUCAUGAGUGUGGAGGAUAUAAAACGACUUGGAAUUAAUAUGACACGAGAGUUUGUAAAUUGUAGCACUGAAGGAGUAGUCUAUCUGUUAAAAUGCCCAUGUGGAUUGUUAUAUGUGGGAAGUACUGUACGUUCUGUUAGAACAAGACUUAGCGAACAUCAAUCCAGAAUUAAGAACAACGUGCUAGAAGCCCCCUUAGUACAACAUUACCAGGAUAAAAAACACAGCAAUAUGGACAUGAAUGUUACUAUUCUGUUCAAGACCCAGAAAAGAGAACAUAAUUCUGCUACAAGAGAGCUUCGUCAAAAAGAAACAUUUUGGAUACAUAGACUCAAUACUAGGGAUGUGCGUUUCGGCUUUCGGAAUGCCGAAAGAAAGCCGAAACAAAAGUGUUUCGGCUUCUUUCGGAUAAGCCGAAACGUUUCGGAGGAAGCCGAAACGUUUCGGCUUAGCCGAAAGAAAAAAAGCCGAAACGU